Molecule: ribosomal RNA, 429 nt
Filed under: Bacteroidota bacterium
Lineage: Bacteria; Pseudomonadati; Bacteroidota
Description: Bacteroidetes bacterium partial 16S ribosomal RNA
Rfam family: Bacterial small subunit ribosomal RNA
Source: RNAcentral
UAGGGAAUCUUCCGCAAUGGACGCAAGUCUGACGGAGCAACGCCGCGUGAGUGAAGAAGGAUUUCGGUUCGUAAAACUCUGUUGUUAGAGAAGAACAGCGCAUAGAGUAACUGUUAUGCGUGUGACGGUAUCUAACCAGAAAGCCACGGCUAACUACGUGCCAGCAGCCGCGGUAAUACGUAGGUGGCAAGCGUUGUCCGGAUUUAUUGGGCGUAAAGCGAGCGCAGGCGGUCAAUUAAGUCUGAUGUGAAAGACCCCGGCUCAACCGGGGAGGGUCAUUGGAAACUGGUUGACUUGAGUGCAGAAGAGGAGAGUGGAAUUCCAUGUGUAGCGGUGAAAUGCGUAGAUAUAUGGAGGAACACCAGUGGCGAAGGCGACUCUCUGGUCUGUAACUGACGCUGAGGUUCGAAAGCGUGGGUAGCAAACAGG